GUCGAGCGGGUAGAGAGGAGCUUGCUCCUCUUGAGAGCGGCGGACGGGUGAGUAAUGCCUAGGAAUCUGCCUGGCAGUGGGGGAUAACGUUCGGAAACGGACGCUAAUACCGCAUACGUCCUACGGGAGAAAGCAGGGGACCUUCGGGCCUUGCGCUAUCAGAUGAGCCUAGGUCGGAUUAGCUAGUUGGUGAGGUAAUGGCUCACCAAGGCGACGAUCCGUAACUGGUCUGAGAGGAUGAUCAGUCACACUGGAACUGAGACACGGUCCAGACUCCUACGGGAGGCAGCAGUGGGGAAUAUUGGACAAUGGGCGAAAGCCUGAUCCAGCCAUGCCGCGUGUGUGAAGAAGGUCUUCGGAUUGUAAAGCACUUUAAGUUGGGAGGAAGGGCAGUAAAUUAAUACUUUGCUGUUUUGACGUUACCGACAGAAUAAGCACCGGCUAACUCUGUGCCAGCAGCCGCGGUAAU
RNAcentral lists this ribosomal RNA (469 nucleotides) under uncultured bacterium. RNAcentral describes it as "bacterial SSU rRNA". It matches the Rfam family "Bacterial small subunit ribosomal RNA", at positions 61 to 524 of the family's 1533-position model. The record is from RNAcentral.